AGAGUUUGAUCCUGGCUCAGAUUGAACGCUGGCGGCAUGCUUUACACAUGCAAGUCGAACGGUAACAGGCCGCAAGGUGCUGACGAGUGGCGAACGGGUGAGUAAUGCAUCGGAACGUGCCCGGUCGUGGGGGAUAACACUUCGAAAGAAGUGCUAAUACCGCAUACGAUCUAUGGAUGAAAGCGGGGGACCGUAAGGCCUCGCGCGAUCGGAGCGGCCGAUGUCAGAUUAGGUAGUUGGUGGGUAAAGGCUCGCCAAGCCAACGAUCUGUAGCUGGUCUGAGAGGACGACCAGCCACACUGGGACUGAGACACGGCCCAGACUCCUACGGGAGGCAGCAGUGGGGAAUUUUGGACAAUGGGCGCAAGCCUGAUCCAGCAAUGCCGCGUGCAGGAAGAAGGCCUUCGGGUUGUAAACUGCUUUUGUACGGAACGAAAAGGUCCUGGCUAAUACCCGGGGCUGAUGACGGUACCGUAAGAAUAAGCACCGGCUAACUACGUGCCAGCAACCGCGGUAAUACGUAGGGUGCAAGCGUUAAUCGGAAUUACUGGGCGUAAAGCGUGCGCAGGCGGUCUUGUAAGACAGGCGUGAAAUCCCCGGGCUCAACCUGGGAAUUGUGCUUGUGACUGCAAGGCUGGAGUGCGGCAGAGGGGGAUGGAAUUCCGCGUGUAGCAGUGAAAUGCGUANAUAUGCGGAGGAACACCGAUGGCGAAGGCAAUCCCCUGGGCCUGCACUGACGCUCAUGCACGAAAGCGUGGGGAGCAAACAGGAUUANAUACCCUGGUAGUCCACGCCCUAAACNAUGUCAACUGGUUGUUGGGUCUCUUCUGACU
Molecule: ribosomal RNA, 833 nt
Filed under: uncultured bacterium
Lineage: Bacteria
Description: bacterial SSU rRNA
Rfam family: Bacterial small subunit ribosomal RNA
Source: RNAcentral